This 398-nucleotide ribosomal RNA is filed under the name uncultured Comamonadaceae bacterium. RNAcentral's name for it is "bacterial SSU rRNA". It matches the Rfam family "Bacterial small subunit ribosomal RNA", at positions 1 to 409 of the family's 1533-position model. Lineage: Bacteria; Pseudomonadati; Pseudomonadota; Betaproteobacteria; Burkholderiales; Comamonadaceae. The record is from RNAcentral.
ACUGGAGUUUGAUCCUGGCUCAGAUUGAACGCUGGCGGAAUGCUUUACACAUGCAAGUCGAACGGUAGAGGGGGCAACCCCUCGAGAGUGGCGAACGGGUGAGUAAUAUAUCGGAACGUGCCCAGUCGUGGGGGAUAACGUAGCGAAAGUUACGCUAAUACCGCAUACGAUCUAAGGAUGAAAGCGGGGAUCGCAAGACCUCGCGCGAUUGGAGCGGCUGAUAUCAGAUUAGGUUGUUGGUGAGGUAAAAGCUCACCAAGCCGACGAUCUGUAGCUGGUUUGAGAGAACGACCAGCCACACUGGGACUGAGACACGGCCCAGACUCCGUACGGGAGCAGCAGUGGGGAAUUUUGGACAAUGGGCGAAAGCCUGAUCCAGCAAUGCCCGCGUGCAGGAA